Ficedula albicollis (Collared flycatcher) is the source of this 448-nucleotide long non-coding RNA. RefSeq lists it as uncharacterized. The record is from RefSeq and is a predicted model, not a curated record. The transcript is spliced from 3 exons. Lineage: Eukaryota; Metazoa; Chordata; Aves; Passeriformes; Muscicapidae.
GCGGCGCUGUCGGAGGGGGCGAGCGCCGGGAGCCGCCGGGUGCACUGAGCCCGCAGAUCCCCCGGCACAGAGCGGGCAUCCAGGCGGGAAGGCGCAGGGGUCCGGCCCGCAUGGGUUCCCCCGCCCCAGGAUCGCCGGCAGUGGUGCCUGACAGGUCCGGCGGGGGAGGGUGCUCAGUUUGAGCUGGAUCCAGAUGUCACACCUGGAUUUGCUGACCUGUUGUCGACCUGUUCACUCGGGAGCCAUCCCAGCCCCACCAACUCCCGUGCUGAUCCUAAAUGGGAAUGAGAGAUUGAUGCUGUGUUUGGAAUUGGCCAAACCGUCUCCCAAGCCAGCAAUAGCUAGAGAACCGUAUGGAAGCUGUACUUACAACAUCAACUUGUGUCAGGAGCUUACAAUAUGCAGAUCUGGGAAGUGGAAACCCUACACAUGAGUCAACUGGCAGGCG